GAUGAACGCUGGCGGCGUGCCUAAUACAUGCAAGUCGAGCGAACAGACGAGGAGCUUGCUCCUCUGACGUUAGCGGCGGACGGGUGAGUAACACGUGGAUAACCUACCUAUAAGACUGGGAUAACUUCGGGAAACCGGAGCUAAUACCGGAUAAUAUAUUGAACCGCAUGGUUCAAUAGUGAAAGACGGUUUUGCUGUCACUUAUAGAUGGAUCCGCGCCGCAUUAGCUAGUUGGUAAGGUAACGGCUUACCAAGGCAACGAUGCGUAGCCGACCUGGGGGGGGAAUCGGCAAACCAGGAACUGGGAAACGGGCCCGAACCCAACGGGAGGCAGGAGUAGGGAAUCUUCCGCAAGGGGGGAAAGCCUGACGGAGCAACGCCGGGGGGGUGAUGAAGGUCUUCGGAUCGUAAAACUCUUUUAUUAGGGAAGAAAAAAUGUGUAAGUAACUAUGCACGUCUGGACGGUACCUAAUCAAAAAGCCCCGGCUAACUACGG
This 496-nucleotide ribosomal RNA is filed under the name uncultured bacterium. RNAcentral's name for it is "partial 16S ribosomal RNA". It matches the Rfam family "Bacterial small subunit ribosomal RNA", at positions 28 to 506 of the family's 1533-position model. The record is from RNAcentral.